GCCAAAAAAAACCAAAGGGUGGGUGAUGUUUAAUUAGAUUUUAAAUGCCAUUCCUUGAAAAUAAAUAAAAGAAACAAAAGCAGAGACACGUGAAACCAACUCCACAAAUCGUUCGCUUCUCUCAACCUUUCCUCUCCCAAUCUCUCUAUCUCUACUCAAACCCGCGCCUCUCAAACUCCCAAUCUCUCAACCUUUCCUCUCCC
This 203-nucleotide long non-coding RNA is filed under the name Lathyrus oleraceus (garden pea). Its description in RNAcentral is "Pisum sativum (pea) long non-coding RNA (PSAT_LNC015264)". The record is from RNAcentral. Lineage: Eukaryota; Viridiplantae; Streptophyta; Magnoliopsida; Fabales; Fabaceae.